UGUGUGUGUGUGUGUGUGUGUGUGUGUGUGUGUGUGUGUGUGUUUGUAAUGCUAUACUUGUGAGGACCAAUUCAUGACAAAACACCUUUUAAGUGAGGACAUUUCGAUAAAGUGAGGACAAAAUUGAGGUCCUCACUUUAUUUUGCUCAAUAAUGGCUCCAGGGGGGCUGGGCAUCAUGCUGUGGGAGUUUCCCAAAUGUCCUUAUUUUUAUAGCAAAUCAUGACACUAGGUGUGUUUGCUUAAUUCUCCUGAGCUCCCCCUAAAGGCAGACGGGUUUACGGCAGCUUUUUUUGAUUGGCUGCAAGAGGAUGACUCUUCACAGUUUCUGAUUGGACGGUUCGCUCAUUGUUCGGUCGGAUUGAUAGGCUGAAUGAUAGACCAAUGGAAUAUGCUCUUUUUAGAUGUUUUGACAUUAAGACCAUAUAUGUAAAUGACAAUGCGCUCACGUGGGCCGGAUUAAAGGGAUCGGUAUAGCGGAAGACAGAGGCUGCAUCAACACCACAGCACCUGCAAGGCCAGGUACAUGACAAGGACAACACGACAGAAUGACAAAAAAGAAAAACCAAGAGUGAUGAGGGGGAGCAAGAUGGACAGAAGAGAGAUGAGGAAGAGGAAAUAAGCAAUGCUUCUUAUUUUGUUAGUGACAUCUCUACAGAGAAGACUCUAAAAUGAAGAGACAUGUCCAUUGUCCAUGUACCUCUGUCAGCCACCAGCGUCACCUCACUUAAACUGAAGACUCUGAUAAUGAAGACACAUGUCCCCGUACCUCUGUCUGCCACAAGCGUCACCUCGCUCAAACUGAAGACUCUGAUAAUGAAGACACAUGUCCCCGUACCUCAAGUUCUGUCAUCACUGGCCAGAAUCAGGAGAUCAUUCAAAUGAUGACAGGACAGAAGGCUGCAGUGAGGCCUAGGACAGCUGAUGAGCAGGCUGCUGCAGUGAAGGCAACCCUGGACAACCCUUUGUUCUGAAAAAAUCUCCAGGAAAAGUGGGCAGGCAGGCUUACCUUCAAAACAAUCCAUUUAUUCCCUCCAGACCCUGGAUUAACGUAAACGACUUUUGUUUAUAAGACAAUCCAGUCCAAGAAAAGAAGAAUAAUUUGAGCACAUCACUGUUCUGUUUAAGUUUGCUGCAUGGGAACACAUCUCUUAGUUUCUCUGCUGUGUUCCUUUUAUUUAAAACCUUUUGAUUCUCUUAUUGAGCAUUGAGUCACUACUCAACAUUUCUGUAAAAUUCAGAAAAUGGUGAUAAAAUAUGGUCAAAAGUUAAGCUGUGUUAGAAUAAAUUAAUCUUGAUGUUGUAGAAUAACUGAUAGAAAUGUACACUAUAAUUAAAACUAUUUACACAAU
RNAcentral lists this long non-coding RNA (1350 nucleotides) under Danio rerio (zebrafish). Its description in RNAcentral is "uncharacterized LOC100536361 (LOC100536361)". The record is from RNAcentral. Lineage: Eukaryota; Metazoa; Chordata; Actinopteri; Cypriniformes; Danionidae.